UACAGAGGGUGCGAGCGUUAAUCGGAAUUACUGGGCGUAAAGCGUGCGUAGACGGUCAUGUAAGUCGGGUGUGAAAGCCCCGGGCUCAACCUGGGAACUGCAUUUGUGACUGCAUCGCUGGAGUGCGGCAGAGGGGGAUGGAAUUCCGCGUGUAGCAGUGAAAUGCGUAGAUAUGCGGAGGAACACCGAUGGCGAAGGCAAUCCCCUGGGCCUGCACUGACGCUCAUGCACGAAAGCGUGGGGAGCAAACAGG
Molecule: ribosomal RNA, 253 nt
Filed under: uncultured bacterium
Lineage: Bacteria
Description: partial 16S ribosomal RNA
Rfam family: Bacterial small subunit ribosomal RNA
Source: RNAcentral